Molecule: long non-coding RNA, 413 nt
Filed under: Olea europaea (common olive)
Lineage: Eukaryota; Viridiplantae; Streptophyta; Magnoliopsida; Lamiales; Oleaceae
Description: long non-coding RNA (OEUR_LNC014673)
Source: RNAcentral
CUCCUUGAAAUAUGAACUAGAACCACUGAACAACAACUAAUUUUCCUCAAAUCAAUACCUAUACUAUAAAUAGGAUACUCCAGUCCCUCAAAAUACAAACUAUAUAAAUAAAAUAUCGGCAAAUCAACAUUUCCUUUCUUUACAACCAACAAUUCUCAAAUAUACUAAAAACGUCAAAUAUGUAGUAAACCCAUGAUAACCUUUUCUGACAUAAACUACAUAUAACUCAAAGAAACAUGUACUACAUAGUCUAGUAAAGUAGGCCAUAGAACCUAUGACGUGUGACUCAAUAUGGCGGAACAACGGCUCCAAAGCUGCUCAAUUCAGCUGAUAUCUGAUAAGAAAAAAGAUGAAAAGACAUAUGAGCUUAUAGCUCAGUGAGUGGAUAAUUUGCGAAUAAAUAUACUUUUUCC